GGGCCCGUGGCUUAGCCUGGCUAGAGCACUCGACUGAUAAUCGAGAGGUCGUGCGUUCAAAUCGCGCCGGGCCCA
Molecule: transfer RNA, 75 nt
Filed under: Nanobdellota archaeon
Lineage: Archaea; Nanobdellati; Nanobdellota
Description: tRNA-Ile
Rfam family: tRNA
About the family: Transfer RNA (tRNA) molecules are approximately 80 nucleotides in length.
Source: RNAcentral